GUGGGGAAUAUUGGACAAUGGGCGCAAGCCUGAUCCAGCAAUGCCGCGUGGGUGAAGAAGGUCUUCGGAUCGUAAAGCCCUUUCGACAGGGACGAUGAUGACGGUACCUGUAGAAGAAGCCCCGGCUAACUUCGUGCCAGCAGCCGCGGUAAUACGAAGGGGGCUAGCGUUACUCGGAAUUACUGGGCGUAAAGGGCGCGUAGGCGGCUCUGUUAGUCAGGCGUGAAAUUCCUGGGCUUAACCUGGGGACUGCGCUUGAUACUGCAGGGCUUGAGGCCGAGAGAGGGUGGUGGAAUUCCCAGUGUAGAGGUGAAAUGCGUAGAUAUUGGGAAGAACACCGGUGGCGAAGGCGACCACCUGGCUCGGUUCUGACGCUGAGGCGCGACAGCGUGGGGAGCAAACAGGAUUAGAUACCCGGGUAGUCC
RNAcentral lists this ribosomal RNA (425 nucleotides) under uncultured bacterium. Its description in RNAcentral is "partial 16S ribosomal RNA". It matches the Rfam family "Bacterial small subunit ribosomal RNA", at positions 354 to 796 of the family's 1533-position model. The record is from RNAcentral.